RNAcentral lists this ribosomal RNA (373 nucleotides) under uncultured organism. RNAcentral describes it as "partial 16S ribosomal RNA". It matches the Rfam family "Bacterial small subunit ribosomal RNA", at positions 527 to 896 of the family's 1533-position model. The record is from RNAcentral.
GUAGGUGGCAAGCGUUGUCCGGAAUUAUUGGGCGUAAAGCGCGCGCAGGCGGGUCCUUUAAGUCUGAUGUGAAAGCCCACGGGCUCAACCGUGGAGGGUCAUUGGAAACGGGGGACUUGAGUACAGAAGAGGAAAGCGGAAUUCCACGUGUAGCGGUGAAAUGCGUAGAGAUGUGGAGGAACACCAGUGGCGAAGGCGGCUUUCUGGUCUGUAACUGACGCUGAGGCGCGAAAGCGUGGGGAGCAAACAGGAUUAGAUACCCUGGUAGUCCACGCCGUAAACGAUGAGUGCUAAGUGUUAGGGGGUUUCCGCCCCUUAGUGCUGCAGCUAACGCAUUAAGCACUCCGCCUGGGGAGUACGGCCGCAAAGGCUG